This is a long non-coding RNA of Cynoglossus semilaevis (tongue sole), 348 nucleotides long. RefSeq lists it as uncharacterized. The record is from RefSeq and is a predicted model, not a curated record. The transcript has 2 exons. NCBI's taxonomy places the organism in Eukaryota, Metazoa, Chordata, Actinopteri, Pleuronectiformes, Cynoglossidae.
CACUGUCAGCGACCUCACCCCGUCCAAGUCAUCCUGCACGAGCAGCUCGCCGUCACCCGCACCUCCUCCCUCGCCCCGAUCGCUGCUGGAGCCGGAGUCACAGGACAGGAAUUCAUCUUCAGAAGGAUUCAAAUGGCCAUAACAGCUGAAUGAUGCUUUGCUCGAACCACUGUGGUGUAACUUAGCUUCAAAAACAAAUAAAAUUAAAACACAAUUUUACUGUAAAUGUGGACCAACAACCAUUGCACUGUCUUUGUGUCCUGAAUUAAUUAAUUACAUUUAAAUUAGCUGUUAAAUGUAAAAACAUGUGCCACGAUAUGGUGUGAUUUUCCUUUUAUUCGUAUGCAC